Molecule: ribosomal RNA, 326 nt
Filed under: uncultured bacterium
Lineage: Bacteria
Description: bacterial SSU rRNA
Rfam family: Bacterial small subunit ribosomal RNA
Source: RNAcentral
AACGAACGCUGGCGGCAGGCCUAACACAUGCAAGUCGAACGAGAUCUUCGGAUCUAGUGGCGGACGGGUGAGUAACGCGUGGGAACGUGCCCUUCUCUACGGAAUAGUCCUGGGAAACUGGGUUUAAUACCGUAUACCGCCCGUUACGGGGGAAAGUAAGUUUCGGGGAAGGAUCCGGCCCGCGUUGGAUUAGGUAGUUGGUGGGGUAAUGGCCUACCAGCCGACGAUCCAUAGCUGGUUUGAGAGGAUGAUCAGCCACACUGGGACUGAGACACGGCCCAGACUCCUACGGGAGGCAGCAGUGGGGAAUCUUAGACAAGUGGGGG